AUACCAUGGUGGGGAUAUUGUCUAAGCAACUCUUUAAAUCUUUCCCAAGCAUCAAAUAAGGAUUCAUCAUCUCAUUGUCUAAAUGAAAUUAUCUUGUUUCUCAUCUU
This is a small nucleolar RNA of Vicia villosa (hairy vetch), 107 nucleotides long. NCBI's taxonomy places the organism in Eukaryota, Viridiplantae, Streptophyta, Magnoliopsida, Fabales, Fabaceae. The record is from RefSeq and is a predicted model, not a curated record.